Molecule: ribosomal RNA, 492 nt
Filed under: uncultured bacterium
Lineage: Bacteria
Description: partial 16S ribosomal RNA
Rfam family: Bacterial small subunit ribosomal RNA
Source: RNAcentral
AGUGAACGCUGGCGGUAGGCCUAACACAUGCAAGUCGAACGGCAGCACAGUAAGAGCUUGCUCUUACGGGUGGCGAGUGGCGGACGGGUGAGGAAUACAUCGGAAUCUACUUUUUCGUGGGGGAUAACGUAGGGAAACUUACGCUAAUACCGCAUACGACCUACGGGUGAAAGCAGGGGAUCUUCGGACCUUGCGCGAUUGAAUGAGCCGAUGUCGGAUUAGCUAGUUGGCGGGGUAAAGGCCCACCAAGGCGACGAUCCGUAGCUGGUCUGAGAGGAUGAUCAGCCACACUGGAACUGAGACACGGUCCAGACUCCUACGGGAGGCAGCAGUGGGGAAUAUUGGACAAUGGGCGCAAGCCUGAUCCAGCCAUACCGCGUGGGUGAAGAAGGCCUUCGGGUUGUAAAGCCCUUUUGUUGGGAAAGAAAAGCAGCAGGUUAAUACGCCGCUGUGCUGACGGUACCCAAAGAAUAAGCACCGGCUAACUUCGUG